CCUACGGGUGGCAGCAGUGGGGGAUAUUGCACAAUGGGGGGAACCCUGAUGCAGCGACGCCGCGUGUGGGAAGACGGUCCUCUGGAUUGUAAACCACUGUCCCCAGGGACGAAAAUGACGGUACCUGGGGAGGAAGCUCCGGCUAACUACGUGCCAGCAGCCGCGGUAAUACGUAGGGAGCGAGCGUUGUCCGGAAUUACUGGGUGUAAAGGGAGCGUAGGGGGGGAUGCAAGUUGGGUGUAAAAACUACCGGCUCAACUGGUAGUCGCACUCAAAACUGCAGCUCUUGAGGGACGUAGAGGCAGGGGGAAUUCCUAGUGUAGCGGUGAAAUGCGUAGAUAUGAGGAGGAACACCAGGGGGGAAGGGGGCCGGCUGGGCUUUUACUGACGCUGAGGCUCGAAAGUGGGGGGAGCAAACAGGAUUAGAUCCCCCAGUAGUC
RNAcentral lists this ribosomal RNA (440 nucleotides) under uncultured bacterium. Its description in RNAcentral is "partial 16S ribosomal RNA". It matches the Rfam family "Bacterial small subunit ribosomal RNA", at positions 338 to 795 of the family's 1533-position model. The record is from RNAcentral.